RNAcentral lists this ribosomal RNA (468 nucleotides) under uncultured bacterium. RNAcentral describes it as "partial 16S ribosomal RNA". It matches the Rfam family "Bacterial small subunit ribosomal RNA", at positions 28 to 507 of the family's 1533-position model. The record is from RNAcentral.
GACGAACGCUGGCGGCGUGCUUAACACAUGCAAGUCGAACGGAAAGGCCCUGCUUUUGUGGGGUGCUCGAGUGGCGAACGGGUGAGUAACACGUGAGUAACCUGCCCUUGACUUUGGGAUAACUUCAGGAAACUGGGGCUAAUACCGGAUAGGAGCUCCUGCUGCAUGGUGGGGGUUGGAAAGUUUCGGCGGUUGGGGAUGGACUCGCGGCUUAUCAGCUUGUUGGUGGGGUAGUGGCAUAGCAAGGCUUUGACGGGUAGCCGGCCUGAGAGGGUGACCGGGCACAUUGGGACUGAGGUGGGGGCCGGAGUCCUACGGGAGGCAGCGGUGGGGAAUAUUGCACGAUGGGCGGAGGCCUGAUGCAGCAACGCCGCGUGCGAGAUGACGGCCUUCGGGUUGUAAACCGCUUUCGCCUGUGACGAAGCGUGUGUGACGGUAAUGGAUAAAGAAGCACCGGCUAACUACGUG